Molecule: long non-coding RNA, 3609 nt
Filed under: Lactuca sativa (garden lettuce)
Lineage: Eukaryota; Viridiplantae; Streptophyta; Magnoliopsida; Asterales; Asteraceae
Description: long non-coding RNA (LSAT_LNC000287)
Source: RNAcentral
GGAUGAGUAAGGCCAUUCUUGUUGCCUUUUGUUUAAAAUGCAAUCAUAAUGACAUAAUCUACAUCUUAAUUAUACCUACGUCUCAAAUAAGACUUAACCCUUAAUCUAAUGGAGGAAUAACACUUCAUUAUAACCAUACCGCAAGAUCAAAAGUUUUUUGGUUUCACCACCCGUACGCGUUUCUUUUAACAUUUUUAAAUAAAGAUUUAGGAAACUUUUAAUAUCAUACAAAGCUACCAAAACCUGGUUUGUAAAAAAUCCCAAUUUUCAUUCCUAAAAACAUAACGGGUGUAUAAAUUACAUCAAUAAACCGUAGAAAAAACAAAAUAUAUAUAAAUAAAAAGAACUAAGUCCCGUCUCCAUCCGUCUUGUUGUUAUCACAAGUCACCCUAUAACUUUGCACCUGAUCCUAGAAUACAUGACAACAAUAAAACACAUAUUAGACAACUUUAUUUGGUGGGUUAUAAGAGAGUUCAAACAAAACAACCUCAUAACCAUUCUCUUUAAACGUACUAUUAUCGCGCUCGAAAUUUGGCUCAGUCACAUUAUUUGGCAUAGGACGCUUAUCUUUACUAUGGAGUGACCAUUCAUAACGAGUCCUCAUAAAUACAACCCUAAUUGUGCGCAGUCACAUCACGUGACCCAAGACACUGACCUUUUACUAAAGAACAAAUCAUCCGAACAAGACCCAUAGUAGGUCCCCGUAGGAACCCAAGACAUGCGGUAAAUUACUUUCACUUUAUCACAUUGAGUAAUAUGAUAAUCACAUAAGCAUAAUUUGCUAUAAGUCAUGUACUUAAGUUAUUAAGUACUAAGCCAUGNNNNNNNNNNNNNNNNNNNNNNNNNNNNACUUGGGGAGUCUAGGUAGCAUAUGUUCUCUAAUCAUAUUCUCUUUGCAAUCCAAAUCUUGCUUCAUACUUAAGCAUUCAUUUCCAAAUCCUUUAAUCAUUACAUAUGCUACUUUUCACAUCUUAGCAACAUACUUUUAAAAUUUGCAUAAUACUCUACUAAUUACAUUUAGUAUAAUUUAGUCUCAUUAUAACACUAAACUAAUCAUAUAGUUUAGAUUUCCAUGUAUCACAUACCCUUUAUGUGUCAAAAUUUUCACAUAUAGCAACUUAUUUUCGUUUGACCAUUUCACUUUAUUUCGUUAUAUGCUUCAAUUCUUAUAACUAUCUAAUGACCAUAUUAACCUAGUCCUUCUAAUAUCAUUUAGAAUCCAUUUUAAUACCUACAUAUACUUUAUAAAAGCAAAUGCUCAUUUUGGAAACUUUUGCCAUUUUGUCCCUUUUUUACAUUUUAUUUCAAAUAUCAUGCAUUAUUGUGUUUACUUUAUGUUAGGGAGUAACAAUUGAUGAUGACACGUCACGACACGAAAUAAAAUUGGGAUGAAACUAAAAUUUGAAUUCGUAUUCAUGUCAAGGGUAAAAAGCACGACAUCGUGUUGUAUAGUGUUCGUGUUCGAAAUAUGUUUUCUAAAUUUUCAGCAUGAAUUAGAAUAUGUUUUGCUUACUAGCUGAAAAUGUAGUUGUUAUCUAAAAAACUAGAUGUGAAAUAAAAAGCUAGUUGAUAGUUGAAAAGUUAGCUGAUAAAAAAUAUAAUUUGGUAAAACUAACUGAAAAAUAUAAAAUGACUUAAAAUGGCAUUUAAAUAUAUUUGUUUCUAUAAUUUAUUAAGGAGUAUAUUUGAAGUUUUUUUAAAAACUCCUAAGAACUUAGUCUAAAUAGCUUUUUAAAAAGCUAACUUAUAAAAUAUAUUUUGGUUUGCCAAACAUAAUAAUUUAAAAAGUUCGAAAAAUAAGCUAAAAUAUCAGCUAGCUGUAACACGCCAAUAACAAUCAUAAUAUCUUUAUGGUCUUAACAUUUUUCAAAACAAUAGAUAUCAACUUAUAUUUUAUUGUCCUUUUGUCAUUUCAACAAUUUUAUUUCUUUUUACAAUUAAGUAAAUUUCUAAUUUUCUCUGACCAAAACUCGCAAGAUUUUGUUUAAAACUUAUAUCUCAUAUUUUAUUAACUUAUUCUAAGUUAAUUCUAUUCAAAAUCUAAAAUUGUCAAAUAAUCAACAAAAUGUGACUGAUCUUUUUGAUCGCACAAAAAGUUAGCAUGCAACUUUAAUCUAUCACAACUUUUUGGAAUGGCCUCUAACGAGUUGAAGCAGCUUGCUGCAAGUUCCUCACAUUCUCUGCUUCAUUGCUUCAUUUUUGGCUCAAGAAUGAAUUGAUUUGAAUAUGUACAACUCAUCUUAUGCAGCUCUAAAUACUUUAAAUUUCCAAACUUAGAAUCAUUUCAACAUUCAAGCUUUGUGCUGAUAUUAUACUCAACUUUGACCAAACAUAUCUCAAUCAUACAAAGUGGGAUGAGUUGGAUUUUUAUUUAUUUGUGUUCUUUGUUGUAGGAUUAUCUACUGAUUUACUGUUUUUGGAGUUUCAUUCCAAUGGCUUAAACAAUUGCAUAUAUUCUAAACUUGUCUGUGUCAUAUAAUAUUUGUUGAAGUUCUAAUAACUCUUUCAUGACCAUUAAAAGUUCUAACGAUUAGUUUUCACUUUUUUUUUUUAGUUUUCACUUUUUUUUAUUUUUCACUUUUUUUUAAUACAAGUACAACGUAUUUUUAGUUAGUUUUCACUUUUUUUUUAGAAAUUUAGUUUUAAAAAAAUUAGGUUCAGAGAAUGACUAGAAACUCGCAACAACUAGUUUUUCAUGUGUUUAUAAAAGUCAGGAGACGAAUAAGAAAAAAAAAUGGUGAUGAGAGUAGCUUCAGGGAAUGAUGCAAUGAACAGAAUAACAUAACUUUAUCAUGUACGUUUGUGUAUGCAAAGAGAUAUAUCAUGUAUAAUGUAUGAUUGAAUGUAGGUUGAUGGAACAAUGUUUACAAAAUAAACAAAGUUCCAUAACAUCAAACUUAAUUCAGAAGAUCAAAAAUCAUCAAAUCUGAAUAACAAGCUCGAAACCAUUGUUGUAUGCCCCUGUCUGAACCGAACGAAAUUGAAUUAAACAUCCGAUUAUUCGAGGGCAAUUUCAAAAAUAAAAACAAAGCAUAGACAUUUUUAAUCGAAAAUUAUCCGAGACUGCUUGGAAGAACAUUGAUGGUAACACUUAUGAUCGAUCCAAGUUGCCCCGGUGGUUUAAAUAUUCAAAUUAAAAAGUUAAUCGAUGAAGAUAGAACCUUUUAAUCUGUAAAUAAACGUAUUUGAUAUAAGCCUCUUAACUAAGCUCGAUAUGAAAUCUAAAUGUAUUCAUACGGCUACUCUAUAGAGGCGUUGAUUCGAAAAAUAAAUACCAGCAAACUGUUAAACGUUACGAACUUACGAUUCACAUGAUUGAGAUGCAUUGAAUUGAAAUCGGAGCACAUUCAAUCCAAAUUACGAAGCAAACGAGCUCUGAUUUCAUCUUCGUAAUUCGAUGUGAUGCUAACAGAGGAUAACUACGAUGACUGAAGUAAAUCAAGAUUGAAAGAAAGUUCGUAGAUUUACAGAGACAUCCGUUGCUGAAAUAGAUGAAGAACUUAGGUUGAGCUUCAAUGGAGAUGGGGUUUUGAGGAGGAGGCUAGCGAUUUUAGGGUUACUUUGCAACAGCGAUUUUUAUUUUCUGGAUUCUUGAAGCCCAAAGUAAAG